GACGAACGCUGGCGGCGUGCCUAAUACAUGCAAGUUGAGCGCUGAAGGUUGGUACUUGUACCAACUGGAUGAGCAGCGAACGGGUGAGUAACGCGUGGGGAAUCUGCCUUUGAGCGGGGGACAACAUUUGGAAACGAAUGCUAAUACCGCAUAAAAACUUUAAACACAAGUUUUAAGUUUGAAAGAUGCAAUUGCAUCACUCAAAGAUGAUCCCGCGUUGUAUUAGCUAGUUGGUGAGGUAAAGGCUCACCAAGGCGAUGAUACAUAGCCGACCUGAGAGGGUGAUCGGCCACAUUGGGACUGAGACACGGCCCAAACGCCUACAGGUAGCAGCAGUAGGGAAUCUUCGGCAAUGGACGAAAGUCUGACCGGGCAACGCCGCGGGAGUGAAGAAGGUUUUCGGAUCGUAAAACUCUGUUGGUAGAGAAGAACGUUGGUGAGAGUGGAAAGCUCAUCAAGUGACGGUAACUACCCAGAAAGGGACGGCUAACUACGUG
This 497-nucleotide ribosomal RNA is filed under the name uncultured bacterium. RNAcentral's name for it is "partial 16S ribosomal RNA". It matches the Rfam family "Bacterial small subunit ribosomal RNA", at positions 28 to 507 of the family's 1533-position model. The record is from RNAcentral.